Long non-coding RNA from Passer domesticus (house sparrow), 4134 nucleotides. RefSeq lists it as uncharacterized. The record is from RefSeq and is a predicted model, not a curated record. The transcript has 3 exons. NCBI's taxonomy places the organism in Eukaryota, Metazoa, Chordata, Aves, Passeriformes, Passeridae.
UUCAGACAUGGACAUGCAGAGGAGAAGAUGGUUAUUUUCAUAGGAAGGAAAGCACAGAACACCAGUGUUUGAGACACAGAUGAAAGGUGGCCAUUGGAGGCCUAUGCCAGCCAGACCUCUCUGUCUUGGAAGCUUUUGUCAUGGAGGAAUCCUUGGAUAUAUGGAAUUUGGGAGGAGGAAUCUCAAUUUUGACAGUGGACACCUUGAGAAGAAGGACAGUUCUUUUCCACUGGAAGGAAAACCCAGAGCCCCAGUGUUUUGAAAGCAGAUGAGAGGCAGCCCCCAAGAGGCCAAGGGCAGCCAGACCUGUCUGUCCUGGCUGCUUUCACUGGGGAGCAAUUCUUGGCUGUAUGGAGUUUUGGAGGUGGAAUCGCAAUUUUGGCCAUGUGCACCUGGUCAAGAUGGAUGUGGUUUUUUUCCAAUAGGAAAGAAAAGCACAAAGUCCAAGUGUUCUGGAAGGAGAUGAGAGGUGGCCACCCUUAGGUCAAGCCAGCCACACCUGUCUCUCCUUGCACUCUUCGUCUAGGGGCUAUCCUUGGACAUAGGGCAUUUUGGAGGUGGAAUCUCAGUUUUGGCUGUGGGCACCUAGACAGGAAGAAGAGUUCUUUUUAUUAGGAAGGAAAGCACAGAGCCCCAUUGUUUCAAAGGCAGAUGAGUGUCAACCCUCAGGAAGUCAAGGCCAGUCAGACUUAUCAGUCCUGGCAGCUUUUAUCUGCAAGCUAUCCUUGUAUAUAGGGAAUUCUGGAGGCAGAUUCCCCAGUUUUGGCCAGAGACGCCUGGUUGAGUAUGGCCAAGAAAGAAAAGCACAUGGUCCCAGUGUUUCAAAGGCAGAUGAGACAAGGCACCCAGGUGGCCAAGGCAACCAGACCUGUCUGUCCUGGCAGAUUUCAUCUGGGAACAAUAUUUGCAUAUAAGGAAAUUUGGAGGAGGAAUCCCAAUUUUGGCAGUGGGCCUCUGGAGGAGAAGCACAGUUCUCUCCCAGAGGAAAUAAAUCCCAGAGCCCCAGUGCUUCAGGCACAGAUGAGAAGCAGCCCUCAACAUGCCAAGGUCAGCUGGACCAGUCAGACAGCCCCCAGGAGGCCCAGCCAGACAGAACAGUUCCAUGUUCCCUUGGUUUUGUGGAACCCCACAGUGUCAUAAAGGUCUCCUUGGUUCCAUCAGGCCCUGGAGUGUUACAAAGCUCCCUUGCUUCUGCAGUGUCACAAUGGCCCGGUGCUUCCAUGAGACCUUGCAAUGUCACAAUGGCUUAAUGGUUCCACAAAGUCCUGAUGUGUCACCAUGGCCCCUCAGCUCCAUGUGCCCUCGCUGUGUCACAAUGGCUCCUCCGUGACACUAUGGGCUCCACAAGGUCACUAUGGACCCUUGGCUCCUUGGGGCCCCCAGGUUUCACAAUAGUCUCCUUGAUUCCACGAGGCACCACAGUGUCACCAUGGCCCCUUGGUUCCAUGAGGUUCUGUAGUGUCACCAUGGUGUCCUUGGACCCUCAUUGUUCCAACUGACCCAUAGUUCUAUGAGGUUCCAUAGUAUCACCAUGGUCACUGUCAGAGGCUGGAUGAGAUCGAUGUCCUGAGACACCUUGGGAUGCUCGGAACGCCCGUGUGGGGCCAGUUCAGAGAAGAGAUGAGAGAAGCAUUCCGUAGCUGAUUGUGAUGCUGAAUGUCUCCUUUGGAGGUCUGUGCAUGGAGAAGGAUGAGCCCAUUGAGGGCUGACCCCGUUUGAACAAGCUGCUCCUCACCUCCAGCCUCACUGUGUCUGACAUCACCCACCUGGGACUGACAUCCCUGUGCCCUGCAGCAGAACCUUGUCUCCUGAGAUCUGCAGCUCCAUGUCCCAGCCCCCUACAUCGUGUCCCACCUGCUCUCCUCAGGGCUCUGCCUGCACACAGGCCCAGGAGAAGUUUUCCUGUUGGGAAGGAAACAAUGGAAAAGCCUGAGGUUUCCUCAACAUCAAACCCCACUCAGGAACCACCUGCUCAGUACUGGCUGCCUGGAAUGGUGUCACCUUUCUACAAGGGAUAGUGUGACCAGAAAUGAUCUCUGGAAACAGAAUUCCGAGUCUUGCAGCAUAAUUCUCUGUCCCUGUCCUUUCCCUGGAUCUCUGUUGCAGAUGGAAGCAUCCUCACUUUUAACCUCUCUUUGGAAUGCAGAGAUGUUCCCAAGUGUGUUGAGCAGGAUUUGCUCAAUGUUUCUACAAGACUUUGUGUUCCUCAUGGAACAAAGGGGCCAUUUUGACACUGAGUGGGCAACAUGGAAGCAAGGAGUGAAUUGUUACACUGGGGUCCCAUGGAACCAAGGGGCCAUGGUGACAUAGCAGGGCCAUGUGGAUCCAGUGGUCCAUUGUAACACUGUGGAUCCAAGGAGUUCAUUUUGACACUGAGGAAGCUCAUAGAGUGAGUCCUAUUUCAGGCAGUUUUAAGGGAUGAAGACAGAUCAGAAGCAAAUGACAGCUAUACCGAAAGGAGAACCAGCCAGGUGUCUUCCCAACAUGGAUCACAGUGAGUGUGGGCUCUGACCAACAUGGGUCCUCCCCAUGGGAGGACCUACAAUGCAUGAAGUUCUUCCUGCAGUUAGGACACUCACAGAACUUUCCUUAUUGGUGCCUCCGUUGCUGUUGCGUCAAGUAAGAGCUGCUGGAGAAGCUCUUUCCACACUGGGGACACUCGUAGGGCCAUUCCCCAGUGUGGAUUAUCUGGUGGCUGAUCAGGGUGUUGCUUCACCUGAAUCUCUUCCCACACUCCAAGCACUUGUGGGGCUUCUCAUCAUGAAGCUAUUCAGGGACAACCAGCUCCAAGCUCUGGCUGAAGCUCUCUCCACCUUCCUGGCACAGGGUGGGGCUUUCCUCCUCAGAGCACCCUGGGCGGGGUUUGCAGCCCCUCCACAUGUUGGAUUUCAGAGAUUUUUCCUCCCUGUUGGAUUCCUGCACCAUGGAGCCACUCAAAACGGCCUCUUCCAUGAGGUUCUGACAUGGGGAUUUGUCCUCCAUCGUCUCCAUUCUCAGUUCCUUGUCUGGGGGAGGAAGGACAAGGAGAGGAUGGGAUUUGCCUCCAUGCCAGAGGGAAAGGGAAGUAGAUCCCUCCAGGGCUUCCCUGGCAGGACGAUAUUGGCAGUGGGGUUGUCCUGCAGCCAGGGGCCAUGCUGGGCUGGGAGAUGGAGCAGGAGAGAGGGGGAAAGGGGCAGUGACUUCCUCCUCACCUUCCUGGGUGUCCCGGGGCAUCAUCUCAGUUUGAAAAGACAGCUGUCUGCUAAGGAAGGCCGGAGCCUCCCUUGAAAUGGAAAAUGUAAAGCCCCUCCCUCUGAAUUACAAUUUUCAAAAUUAGGGGCUCCCAGGCAAAAGAUACAGGAAUAGGAAUAACUGUUUUUUAGUAGAAAAAUUAAAAAUAAAAAUGCCAUAGUACUAAAAAACUACUUACAGAGUCAGACUACAACCUGACACCCAGUGGGUCAGGGUGGUGGUAGCAAUCCCAUUAAAUGGUGGCUGCAGUGCUCCUGCAGUGACAGAUGUGGUUCUGUUGAAGCAGUGAUUUUGUAGAAGGGUGGAGUUUUCCUCUGAAGGUCCAGUGGUGGUGUAGGUGGGCCUGGUCUUCCUCUGGGAUCUAGUGGAGAAGAAAGCUGCUCAUCUGGGAAUCCUGUGGGAGAAGGCUGGCUAUUGUGUUUCAAGCCUCAGAUUAUAUCCAGAUAGGAAUGCUUGGCUCCUCCCUCUGGGCAGAGCUUCUCAUGAUGGGAUGGUGUAAUUUUUAUCAGUCAUGCAGUGACACUCAAUGGCCCAAUAACAGAUGAUAUCUCCCUAGAGUGAGAAUUGGUUGUGGAAAAGAUAAAGUAAACUGCCCAAUUAACAGAUGAUAACUGCUCCACCUUUAACAGAUGGUAAUUGAAUAUACACCCAGCUAAACUUGAGACACUGUUCCAGCCUUGGAAACCAGGAUUUGGUACUAGGGCUUGUUAGGGAAUGCAACCCUGAGUGAAGACAGAGAAAGGAUCUCCAGAGCCUGCAGCCAGAAAUGGAGAGUUGUGGGAUAAUCAUACCAACAUCUUCUCUUUUGCAAUUAUUUUGAAUUAUUAUUUGUUUUGUCUAUCUUAUACUUUUGUAAUUUUUUGCAAAUUUGCAUUAUCUAAAUUACACUGUUUCUUAAGUUGG